CAAGGCGACGAUCCCUAGCUGGUCUGAGAGGAUGACCAGCCACACUGGAACUGAGACACGGUCCAGACUCCUACGGGAGGCAGCAGUGGGGAAUAUUGCACAAUGGGCGCAAGCCUGAUGCAGCCAUGCCGCGUGUAUGAAGAAGGCCUUCGGGUUGUAAAGUACUUUCAGCGGGGAGGAAGGUGUUGUGGUUAAUAACCGCAGCAAUUGACGUUACCCGCAGAAGAAGCACCGGCUAACUCCGUGCCAGCAGCCGCGGUAAUACGGAGGGUGCAAGCGUUAAUCGGAAUUACUGGGCGUAAAGCGCACGCAGGCGGUCUGUCAAGUCGGAUGUGAAAUCCCCGGGCUCAACCUGGGAACUGCAUUCGAAACUGGCAGGCUUGAGUCUUGUAGAGGGGGGUAGAAUUCCAGGUGUAGCGGUGAAAUGCGUAGAGAUCUGGAGGAAUACCGGUGGCGA
This 457-nucleotide ribosomal RNA is filed under the name Salmonella enterica subsp. enterica serovar Berta. RNAcentral describes it as "bacterial SSU rRNA". It matches the Rfam family "Bacterial small subunit ribosomal RNA", at positions 269 to 718 of the family's 1533-position model. Lineage: Bacteria; Pseudomonadati; Pseudomonadota; Gammaproteobacteria; Enterobacterales; Enterobacteriaceae. RNAcentral also lists the same sequence under 2 other names. The record is from RNAcentral.